GGGCCCGUAGCUCAACUGGCAGAGCCUCCGGCUCAUAACCGGCAGGUUCCUGGUUCGAGUCCAGGCGGGCCCACCA
This 76-nucleotide transfer RNA is filed under the name Candidatus Sungiibacteriota bacterium. Its description in RNAcentral is "Candidatus Sungbacteria bacterium tRNA-Ile". It matches the Rfam family "tRNA". Rfam says of the family: Transfer RNA (tRNA) molecules are approximately 80 nucleotides in length. Lineage: Bacteria; Candidatus Sungiibacteriota. The record is from RNAcentral.